GACGAACGCUGGCGGCGUGCUUAACACAUGCAAGUCGAGCGGUAAGGCUCCUUCGGGAGUACACGAGCGGCGAACGGGUGAGUAACACGUGAGUAAUCUGCCCUUCACUUCGGGAUAACCACCGGAAACGGUGGCUAAUACCGCAUACGACCCAUCUUCGCAUCAGGUGCUGGUGGAAAGUCUUUUCGGCGAAGGAUGUGUUAGCGGCCUAUCAGGUUGUUGGUGGGGUAAUGGGCUACCAAGGAGUCGACGGGUAGCCGGCAUGAGGGGGUGAGCGGCCACACUGGGGCUGAGACACGGACGAGACGCCGACGUGGGGAAGCAGUGGCGAAGAGUGGACGACGGACGAAAGCAUGCUCCAGCAACGCCGCAGGAGGGAUGACGGCAUUCGGGUUGUAAUCCUCUUGAAGUACCGACGAAGAGCCCUGUCGGGUGGUGACGGUAGGUAAAGAAGAAGGACCGGCUAACUACGUG
Molecule: ribosomal RNA, 474 nt
Filed under: uncultured bacterium
Lineage: Bacteria
Description: partial 16S ribosomal RNA
Rfam family: Bacterial small subunit ribosomal RNA
Source: RNAcentral